RNAcentral lists this ribosomal RNA (253 nucleotides) under uncultured prokaryote. RNAcentral's name for it is "partial 16S ribosomal RNA". It matches the Rfam family "Bacterial small subunit ribosomal RNA", at positions 525 to 777 of the family's 1533-position model. The record is from RNAcentral.
ACGUAGGGGGCGAGCGUUGUCCGGAAUUAUUGGGCGUAAAGCGCGCGCAGGCGGCUCUUUAAGUCUGAUGUGAAAGCCCGCGGCUCAACCGCGGAGGGUCAUUGGAAACUGGGGAGCUUGAGUGCAGGAGAGGAGAGUGGAAUUCCACGUGUAGCGGUGAAAUGCGUAGAGAUGUGGAGGAACACCAGUGGCGAAAGCGGCUCUCUGGCCUGUCACUGACGCUGAGGCGCGAAAGCGUGGGGAGCAAACAGGA